AUAGAGUUGCGCAGCGGAAGCGUGGUGGGCCCAUAACCCACAGGUCCUUGGAUCGUAACCAGGCUCUGAUA
RNAcentral lists this transfer RNA (71 nucleotides) under Ricinus communis (castor bean). Its description in RNAcentral is "tRNA-Met". Lineage: Eukaryota; Viridiplantae; Streptophyta; Magnoliopsida; Malpighiales; Euphorbiaceae. The record is from RNAcentral.